Chrysemys picta bellii (western painted turtle) is the source of this 7442-nucleotide long non-coding RNA. RefSeq lists it as uncharacterized. The record is from RefSeq and is a predicted model, not a curated record. Lineage: Eukaryota; Metazoa; Chordata; Testudines; Emydidae.
AAUCCUAUGAAUUCAGCAAAAUCAACCCAUAGCACUGCAUCAAACUCAUAUUUUGCUGCAAAAUUCUAUUAAUCAAUGGCUUAUCAGACUGGAUACUGAAAUAUUUUUAAUGAGCUACAAAGUAGAGUAUUGAUUUCAAUACACCUUUAAGUUUUAUCUACUAUAUUUAAAUAGAUGACCGGCCCCAGCUUUCAAGAAUUCAUCUCUGUUACACAUUUUGAGAAAAAUCCUGAAAUUAAAAAGGAACCUGGUUUCACACACAAAAGAAAGACAGGUUUCAGAGUGGUAGCCAUGUUAGUCUGUAUCAGCAAAAACAAUGAGGAGUCCUUGUGGCACCUUAGAGACUAACAAAUUUAUUUGGGCAUAAGCUUUUGUGGGCUAAAACCCACUUCAGAAAGACAGUUAUUAGUAAGGGAAACGACUUUGUCAUGGAGGUCACUGAUUCCAUUACUUUAAUGAACCUCCGUCACGGCUUCAGCCUCUGCCACGGUGGUGGGGCUGGAGAAACCGCCUGGGGCCAGAGCCCCCAUAUUUUCAGUAAAAGUCAGCAACAGGUCACGGGCUUCCGUGAAUUUUUGUUUAUUGCCCGUGACCUGUCCAUGACUUUUACUAAAAUACCCAUGACAGAAUCUGAACCUUACGUAGUAGUUACUCAACAUAACUGAUAGAAUGGAAACUCUACUGCCACUGUAAAUACGAAACAAAGGGUACAUCAACUCAAGUAGAAAUAGUUGCUAAUGGAAAAGGUUCCAACAUUUUAUUCAUGCUCUGAACAAUAUGCUAUAUACCACAACUUCAAUUAGCAAAACUUCUCAUUCCAAAAUCAGGGCCACUUUGAUUCAUGUCAUAAUUAUACUGAAAACUCCCUGCAUUAUCUUAAAUCUCAUUUAUUUGAAUGGACUCAAUGUCUCCUGUUUAGUAAUAUACCAACACUAAAGUGCCUGAACGAUACGCAUGCCCAAACCAGAGCAUCAACUAUAAAAAAGUAUCUUAAAUGAUAUCAUUUCCAUUGCAACCGCAGCCACUAAAACACACCUAUUUUAAGAGUAUUAAAGACAGAGCUCAUAGAAAUGUGGUGUUUUCUUUCUAAGGCAUUUAACCAUCUCAAGAUAAUUCAAACUAAAAUGCAGUAAGGGCCUGACUCUGCAGCACUGAAUCUGUAGACUACGAGAGUGGGCUCUAACUGUAGGAAAUUUUUAGGCAGCUGUUUCCUCUUAGUAGUUAAUUUGCAAAAUUACUAACUGGCAGUUUGUUUAAUUUUGGUUUCUCAGAAAUAGUCAUUAGUGUUAAAAGCUAAUUAAUUUGAAAUUUGACAAUACUGGGAUGGAUUGAUCUAUGCCAAACUUGGUUUGCAUUAAUAGCAGAAAAAAAAUCAAAAUAAUUCUUUUUAAUGGAACAUUUUCCCUUUUAGUUUUGUCCCAGAUGCAUGUGGUACUUAAGAUAGUAGUGCCUGUCUUUCGAAUAAACUAAACAAACAUCAGUAUAGUUCCCCUGAUAAUUAUAUGUAAUGGUUUGAUUUUUCUAAUUUAAAAAAAAAGUCACAGUUUUUAUAUUCAGAAUCUUUAAAAAUGGAUCACACAUUACAUUUGUUAACGAAAGUACACUGUCCCAACUCUCUCUCACUCUCUCUUUCACAAAAAAUAAUUAAAAUGUUUUGACUGGCAAAUCUUCUACAUCUCCCUCGAUUUCAAAAAUCUUCAAUAUACUGAUGAUAUUUCUAUAUAGCAGGAGUGAAUGAUAUGCAUUGCAAAUUUUGUAAGCAUAGUACUGUAGGGCAAUAAAGCAAUUAACCUUCGAGGCACUUAAAACUAGAGAUAAGCAUCAUGUUCUUCAGUUAUCCUCCAAUCUUAAAUUAAACACUCUACACUGAAGACAGGUUCUAUUUACUUAGUUGCAAUGCAAAUGUGUGCAGCUGACAGUAGCACUAAUAUACGACUAUUCUUAUAUCAUCAUCAACAGAUUUAAGGCCUCCAUUCAACAAAACAUUUAUUCAUUUGCUUAACUUUAGUGGGAUUAAAGCACAUUCUUAAGCACUAAAAUAUUAUACUUGAUCAACUUUAUUUUAACUAAUGACAACGUUAUAAAUUACUAUUUAUCAAACCAGAAAAUAACUAGUCACCCAUUUCAAUGGGACUAACUUGGCACCAUGAGGAGACAUUUUUCAUCAGCGCUUGUUCACGUUGUGACAGUAUCCUGUUACUAUCCUGAACAAACUUUAUGGAAUUAAGAUAAGCUUUUCUGAGUUAAAGUUAAACCUUACUAAAUUGGGGUUACCAACUUUGGGGUACAUUGUAUUAAAAUGUAACUGUGUAUGUGUUAUUGUGGCACUGUAUGAACCUUCUCUAAUAGGCAGGGGAGAUGGUAAUGAACUUCUGCCAUGAUCAGCCUUUGAAGCCACUUCAUUCCUCCCAGAAGAUAUGCACGUACACAUUCAAACUGGAUUCUCCAGAGACCAAGAGACAAAGGAAAGACUUGUGGAUGAAAUCCUAUUUUAAACUAAUUUAGGGCCUUCUUCCUGAUCCAGCAAAUGUACAGGAACUGUGGUCUAUGGAGGGCCCAAACCCUAAGGGAGGAUUGGAAGGACUUGGUCUACAGAGGCCUCAUAAGUCUGUGUGCUUGUUCUGAACUGAAGCUCCAAUUAACUUGCAAGGAUGCCCCUAAGAUGGGGUAUUAAAAGGCUGCACCUGCCAGAAUCCAUUUGAGAGUUAGGAUAAAACCUGCUAAGCUUAUUAGCAUGUGUGUAGGUUCUUUUAUUGUGUUUACUAUAUUUUCUCUGUGACGCUUUGUACCAUAAGAAUAAAGUAGGCUUGCUUUGAAAGAGCUGUGUGGUAACUUAUAACUGUAGCAGUUACACAGUUAUCCAUCUCUGAAGAGAAAGCAAGCAGGUGUUCUUGGGCAACCUGUCUGUGCUAGGAAUAACACAAUGAAGGUAGGGAACUGUGCAGCCUGGGAAUACCCCAAUCAAAAGGGAGAGGGACGUGUGUCUCCCCCCAAGAGAGGCAACAGACUGAGAGUGGGUGCCCCUGUUGAAUCACUGAGGGGGAAUCCAUGUGCAGUUGUCUUGACCUGUGACACGUAUCUCCAAUAUUUGCAUAUUGGAGUAUGCUGUCUUGGUGCUCUUUGUUCUCUGAUAUGCGCGCCUGCACAGACCCAGCACCAGCACUUUGUUGAUGUCAGCAUGGAGGAAACUACUGGCUGCUGCUGUAGUGCCGCUUUCUUUGUCUGGUGCAACUGCUGCUUGCCACUCCCACCACUGUUCUCACCAGCUCCUCAGAUUGUCUUCUAAAUGCAUAGCACAGCAUAUACCUCUGAUACUACCAGGCCAGGAGGUACCGGGGGGGUAUGUGCUCCACUGUAGUUAUUCUCCUCUCUUCACGGCCUGGCUGCCCUCAAGCACACAGAUGGAUGACCAGGUUAAUCCCUAACUAUGAAGUGCUGCCAGACUAGAUAGCCCUGUUCAACCCUACUUGGUGGUGGUUGAAAUAAUUUUUCACCACGCCACCUCACUAGUGUUGCUUUUUAAAAAAGUUUUAUUUUUAAUUUCUCUUUCCAACUCCCAUCCCAAAGAGCUUACAAAACAGCUGCUGGAGCUCUCCUAGUGAGAAUGAAAACAUGAACGUUAUUCAUGCUUGUUUUUAUGAUGUUUGUUUGCUAAACACAUUUUGAUGAAUAAAUAUUACCUCUCCAGAAUGUUCACGAGUUAGUGAAUAAAAGAGGCUGUGAAAAACAGCGUGGCAAAAGGAGAGGAAGUUCUAGACACACAAAUAUUUGCAAGUAAUUUUUUGUAUUUACUAAUAGCAUUUUGGCUUGUUUACUUUCUUGGGUAGCCUGUCCCUAGUGUUUUAGAGUUGUGACUGGAAGAAUUUGGGAUCUCAGAAAAGAAAGAGAAGAAAAGAAUUCUUCACUUUGAUGCUAGAUUGACUGAAUUGCUUCUAACUGGAGAAUUCUAGACUGCAACUGAAAAAAUAGCCAAGUGAUAGGUAGAAUUUAUUUAGGUGGAGCUCUACACUAUUAUAAUUUAAAAAUAUAAUGUUAUGCACAUGUGAAUCUUUGAAUCAAAGAAUUUCUGCAGAAAAUGAUAAUUAAGGGUUUUUUUGGGGGGAGGUUAUGUGGAGGGAAUGAAGAAAUGAAAACCAUUAACAGAAAUUUAUUUGGAACUUUCAGGGAACUUUUACUACUGAAGCCAUAUCUAAGACAUUUCAGGAACUUUUCCUCCCUCCCUCUUUCUCUCUUUACCGGGUGAUGGUAUUUGAAAAGAUGGCUUCCAAGGGCUUGACUACAGUAGACAUUUCAGCACUAAGGCAGGUACACUGUUGCAGCUGCACCAGUAUAAAGAAUGAUUUGCACAGGAGUGUAGCUUCCCUGGCUUCAAAAGCUAAGUCAGUAUAGCUACACCAGUGCAAAAAUCCCCGGUGCAGGCAAACACGAAGUAGUCACCAGGGAUUUAAAAUCUACUAUAUUUAUUCUUUGGUGAAGAGAGGGAGAUGUUUAAUCCUGUUUAGACUCAAUAUUCAUGAUAUAUGGUAUGUGUGUGAUAUCACAAUUUUAAUUUGUAUAGCAUGUAAAUAUUAAAAGAUGAAGUGAAAAUACUAAAUAUUUUCUCAUUUUAUAUUAUUAACAUUGAGUUCAAUGGAAUGACUUGAAUGCUUAAAGUUAACCAAGUGCUUAAGCAUUUUGCUGCUUUACAGACAGAGCCCCAGAACCUAAAUCCCAGUUUUACACCACUGCGAUCCACUUGGCUAUUGCCUAACCCUACAAGUGCCUAAACUCACUUGGUGCCUAAAAUUUCUGCUGUAGAAGUUCUCAAGGCACCUAAGUUUCUGUUUCUGGGCAUGUGCACUGCUGUCUCUCUCUUGGCAUGUGGGUGCCUAUCUCCUCCCUAAGGCCGAGAGCAAUCCAGGAACUGGGGUAGGAGUAUCUAAGUCACACACUGGGUUGGUGUGGUCAGAUGCCAUCCACCAGAUUGGGUCCCAUCAAAACACGGGAUGGAUGGUGCCCAUUAGGCCACUGGUUAGAGCACUCAGCUGGGAGACAGGAUUUGAAUAGGGGUCUCUCACCUCCCAGGAGAGUGGUCUAACCACUGAGCUACGGGAUAUUCUGACGUGGGGCUCUUUCCUUUUGACGCUGUUCCAUCAUGUAUAAAUAAAGCAUCACUGGAGCGGGAGAUUGGACCCUGAUGCUUCCAAGUGUGUGCCCUAGCUGCCAGGCUGCAGAGUCAUUCUCUCUGGCCCUAUGACUCUCAUACUUAAAGAGCCAUUGGGGCGGAGAGAGUGAGUGAGAAUGACUCAAUCAUUUGCCACAGUCAGAAGAAUACUGGGGGCUGUGGACAAAGCCAGGCCAUGAGUUUCCUGCACACACGCUACAGAUGCUAGUUGGUGUUUAUGACAGGAGUGCAUACACAGCUACUUCUGCAGCAGCAGCAGCAAGGAAUUUUGCUGGGCAUGUUACCCCAGCCAGAUCUCUCUCAGCCACCAUUCAGCCUGCAUGCACCCUGUUUGGGGGCUGCCAUUCCCCUUGUGUCUGUCUGUGCCACAGUAACGAGGGCAGCAUUUUGCUCUAGUGUUUUGAAUGCCAGACAAUACAUCUUUGUAAACUAUUCUCCCUUAAAAACUUUGGAAUAUAAGCUAUAUGAAUAAGACAGGCAAUACAAAGCAUCUGCUCUGACUUCCAAAACUAAAUCAAGUUUCUGGUGAAAACAAGUAGCAAUACAGAGGAAAUAUACUAAUGGACUUAUUUGCAAGACCUGUGCUCCCAUUUUAACAGGAAUCAAAUGUUUUCUAGAGUUAUGAGGAAGGUGUUUAUAAUAUACUUUGAUGGAAUAGGCAAUCAGCAUGGAGUAGCCUCUUAGAAAGGCAGACUUAUACCAAAGGAUCUGAUGGAGAAGACAUUUACAAUUAGAGUACUGUUCUCUUGCUCAUCUUCUGAAGAAGAAGAUUUCAAAACAAGCUUGUUUGUCCAGCUGGUUAAAUUUCUUUGUGCCAUUCAUCAUGAGAGAACCUCUAUCUACUGGUUAAGUUACCAAGUAUGUGUCAUUAUAAUUAGUUCCAAGAGUUGGAGAUGUCACUGAAUUCAUACCCUUCAGGACUAAAACGACAUUUCCAGCAAGUGGUGCUUUGUGCUUCUUUAUCAUUGCAUCAUAUCGCCAGGAAUAGCUCUAGUAAUAGCUGCACACAUCAAUGCUGAAAUCAGGUAGUCCUUGACCCAAGAAAAUAUGCAGGGAAAGUUUCCACAGGGAAAUGAGGGAAAGAGCAUUUUAGUAUCUAACUCAUCCAUUAUAAAUAUAAUUAAAAGUCAUAUCACACCAUUUUUCCUCUCCCAUGAUUUAAGGUGGUAAAAGAACUGGUCAUUCCAGGAUACAAAGCAUAUUGCCUUCUGUGACCCUAAAGGAAUCUCCUUUAAGUGCAAAGUGAAACAGAACAUCUCAGAGUGUGGAGAAAGAAACACUACACUAGAGGAUCGCUCAUUGAACACGAGAGACGAAAUGCUCCGACGACCAUCACUGGCGGUAAGAAGAGGCAGCGAGUCGGCAGGGCCCUAUAUGCAGCACCAUGAAGGCGUGACUCCAGGGGGCUCCAGAGCCGACCUAAUAGAUGCUGCUAGGAGAAAAACCUUCUGGCGAACUGUGCAUGUGGUGUGCACGCACCUAAUUGGAAUCAGUAUGAACAAGCACUCGAAGGAGGAGGAUAUGGUGUGGUUAAGAAUCCUAGGACCAGAAGGCCUUUGAAAGUGAUGGAUGCAUUUAUAAUCAAGCAAUUCAUCAGUGUCUCAAGGAAGAACCUCAAGCUUCAACACACUUCCUCAAGUCAAAGGGAAGCCUGGAUGUGUGCUUUAGUGAAAAUGAUGUUCACCCUACAACAUGGGAAGGAGUUCUUUAGCUAUGGAAUAUAUAACUUUUUUAAAAAAAAAAGCAUCUCAGAAUGUGGCCAAGCAGACAAAAAGAAAAACCGAAACAAAACAUAUUUAGGGCUGAGUUACAGAUAAAACUUUUCAGCUGCAAAAUCAACAUUAAAAGCAACUACAAAAAACUCAGAGAGAACAGUAUUUUUGUUUUGUUUGUUUAGGGACGUACAGUCUUAUUAAUUUAUUACCAACUUGUUUGAGAGUUAUAACAAUAGUUUCUGUGUAAAAGAGAAUUCAAAAGCUUUCCAAUCUGCAAAUAGUUGCUUUGAGAAGAAAAUUUGACAAGAAUGCAUACAAAUACUCAGAUUCUCAACUGUAGAGAAAAUAAAUGGAAAAAGGCCUAGAUUCAGACAUAGAACUAGGCCUUUUUCCACUUAUUUGCUCUAUGUCGGUUCUCUAAAUAUUUAGACGGUAAUUGGACAAUUAUUGCUGGUGUUUUCCAGCAUGAGUUGCAAGUACACCUCUACCUCAAUAUAACGCUACUUGAUAUAACACGAAUUUGGAUAUAACCCGAAUUUGGAUAUAACAUGGUAAAGCAGUGC